Lactuca sativa (garden lettuce) is the source of this 2481-nucleotide non-coding RNA. NCBI's taxonomy places the organism in Eukaryota, Viridiplantae, Streptophyta, Magnoliopsida, Asterales, Asteraceae. The record is from RefSeq and is a predicted model, not a curated record.
CAUCUAACCAUAUUCGAAUUUCACCAUCUCCGUCUAAACUCAUCUAAACUUAUCGACUUCAAAAUUUUCUUCUCUGGUCUAAAGACGGGACCAUACAGAGGCAACUGAUUUCACCAGACACAAUGCAGAUGAUGCAGCUGACUCCAACAGACCUAGCAAGGUUUCAAACAAAGAAACUUAGGGUUUCUUGCUUUCUUCCCCUCCAUCUCCCUCUAAUCUACAUCGUGUUCUCUGCGUUCUCUGAAACCCGUUGAAGCCACCAUAUUCUUUCUCCACUACCUGCUUACCUGAUAUCGAUGUCUCCACCGCUAACUUCCUACAUACAGUCAGUCUUUUUUGCUUCCCUCUCUCUCAUGCUUUCCAUAGAUUUCUCCUUUCUGAUCCUUGAUGUACUGCCGUUCCGACGGGAAGCUGAAUCCGACAUGUGUCGAUUCACUAUCCGGCACUGCAGAAGUCGGCGAUUCUAUUUGUUCUCACCACUGUCCGACAAGGGUUUGUUACCGGCCAUAUUUUUGAUUGUAGGUUCUCAGUUCCGAUCGACACCGCCAAGAAUCGCAGAUCCAAUGCUUCAAUUUUCGUGCGUGUCUCCAGUUAAAGAAGAAGAAGAUAAAAUAAGGGAAUUACCUCUGAGAGCGACUAUGGAUGAUUGGAGAGCGAAUGCUUCAUAAGGCGGGGAAGCCCAAAAUAAGGCGGGGAUAUCAUAAUCGGUCCCACCUGUGGCGAGGAAGCCCAAAAACGAUCUGAUCUGGUGAGAUCCCCAUUCGCACCACCGAAGAAGAAGAUGUCGAAAUAUUCCUAUUCCACCUGACUUUGAACCAAAGAAAAUCGGCAGUUUGAAACAUGUUCUCCCCCAUUCUACAAUCGUCUGACUUGUAGGUUUGAUUCUACGAUCGUCCCUCCUCUGUGUUUCAUUCUGCAAUUUGGGACAACAUUGAAAAAGCAAAGCCCUUGUCAAAGGUGGCCUUCGUUGACCAACAAAAUCGCAAGGCAACAACGUUUUUGGGUUCCGGUGGCGGUUCCGUAUCGGCCAUACCUGACCACUCUUCCUCACCUACAAGACAGAAGUAAGUUUCUCAAUUCUUUCGAAAAAAAAAACAGUUCCCAAUUCUUUCACAUUAUAACCCCUAUGCUUUAAUUUUUACCCAUAAUAGCAACUUACUUGGAGUUUUCUAUUGGUUAUAGAAAAUUUUAACCUUUUUGUUUUCUCUUCAUUAUGUGACAUGAGAUCAAAUGGUCAAUGUUUCUAUGCAAAAGAUUGGAUGUGCAUUUGCUUAUCAAGAAGAGAAAGCGAAGAAGGACUUAGGUCAGUUCUCAAAACCAACUAUAUAGUGGUUAAAGUAAUUUCGCACUUUAUACAUGCUUUGGUGUAACUUGAGAUGACACUCUUCAACCGGUUUAUACUGCCCCUACAUACUAUUUUUAUAGUUUCAAAUUUUUGAUUCUAACAUUUUUGGACCAAACUGCCCCUGCAUACUGUUUCUAUAGUUAAAUAUUUUGAUCUUACGAUUUUUGGACGAAACUGCACAUGCAUAUUGUUUUUAAACUUUAAGAAAAUUGUUUUUAACAGUUUUAGACCAAACUGCCCCUGCAUACUAAUUUUAUAGUUAAUUUUUUUAACAGUUUUGGACGAAAAUGUCCUUGCAUAAUGUUUUUAUACUUAAAAAUAUUUGAAUUUAACAAUUUUGGAUGACACAACUCUUACAUAUCCUUUUUAUAGUUAAUCUUUUUUUUUUAUUUCAACGGUUUUGAACUCAGAUUGAUGUUGAAUAUAUUUAAGUAGUAGAUUGAGUAAAGAGCGAUAUACUUUGGAUUUUGUUUUUAUUCCUUUCCCGAAAAACAAAGUACAUAGUCAUUUUUUGUUUUUCCAUCUUUAGCUGCUAAAUGCAAUAAAUAGCAAUGAGCUUUAAAUUUACACAUUUUUUUCAGGUUUUUUUUUUUGUAAUUUCUUUUAUUUUUUUUUCAAAAACCAAACUACAUUGCUAUUGGGUGCAUUUUCCAUUUUUACGAGUAAAAUGACCCAAAUGGCAAUAUAUUUUCAAUUUAUAUGUAUUUUUUUUUUCAUUUUUACGAGUGAAAUGCCCCAAGUGCAUUAUCAUUUAGGAAAGAAGAACCAUACAUACACCAGCUGUCGGAUUUGAUCUCCGAUUUCACAACUUCACCAUUCUUUAAGUUGUUCGCUGGAAUACCUACAUGAAUCUACGCAUCAAGAAUGAAGCUUUUUUAAGAUGAAUUUGUCACCGCCAUUUUUCGUUGAUUUGUAGUAUCACCAGAAGUUGGCGCUUGAAGAACGGACAACAAAAUUGAAAGUGUUUAUUAACAACAUUAUUCUUUUAGAAUUAAUUAGUGUAUUUGUUAGAUUUUGAUGUUUUUUUUCCCGAUUUGAAAGUUUUUUAGUUUUAUUAUUUAACAAUAAAUGUAAUUCUUAGCAAUUAUUACAUGUAUUGUAUAAGAAUUAAUGUAAUUUUUGUUUUAAUUCUUCAA